AAGAGGAGUGGCGAACGGGUGAGUAACACGUGGGUAACCUGCCCAUCAGAAGGGGAUAACACUUGGAAACAGGUGCUAAUACCGUAUAACAAUCAAAACCGCAUGGUUUUGAUUUGAAAGGCGCUUUCGGGUGUCGCUGAUGGAUGGACCCGCGGUGCAUUAGCUAGUUGGUGAGGUAACGGCUCACCAAGGCCACGAUGCAUAGCCGACCUGAGAGGGUGAUCGGCCACAUUGGGACUGAGACACGGCCCAAACUCCUACGGGAGGCAGCAGUAGGGAAUCUUCGGCAAUGGACGAAAGUCUGACCGAGCAACGCCGCGUGAGUGAAGAAGGUUUUCGGAUCGUAAAACUCUGUUGUUAGAGAAGAACAAGGAUGAGAGUAACUGUUCAUCCCUUGACGGUAUCUAACCAGAAAGCCACGGCUAACUACGUGCCAGCAGCCGCGGUAAUACGUAGGUGGCAAGCGUUGUCCGGAUUUAUUGGGCGUAAAGCGAGCGCAGGCGGUUUCUUAAGUCUGAUGUGAAAGCCCCCGGCUCAACCGGGGAGGGUCAUUGGAAACUGGGAGACUUGAGUGCAGAAGAGGAGAGUGGAAUUCCAUGUGUAGCGGUGAAAUGCGUAGAUAUAUGGAGGAACACCAGUGGCGAAGGCGGCUCUCUGGUCUGUAACUGACGCUGAGGCUCGAAAGCGUGGGGAGCAAACAGGAUUAGAUACCCUGGUAGUCCACGCCGUAAACGAUGAGUGCUAAGUGUUGGAGGGUUUCCGCCCUUCAGUGCUGCAGCUAACGCAUUAAGCACUCCGCCUGGGGAGUACGACCGCAAGGUUGAAACUCAAAGGAAUUGACGGGGGCCCGCACAAGCGGUGGAGCAUGUGGUUUAAUUCGAAGCAACGCGAAGAACCUUACCAGGUCUUGACAUCCUUUGACCACUCUAGAGAUAGAGCUUCCCCUU
This 947-nucleotide ribosomal RNA is filed under the name Enterococcus sp. Its description in RNAcentral is "bacterial SSU rRNA". It matches the Rfam family "Bacterial small subunit ribosomal RNA", at positions 88 to 1020 of the family's 1533-position model. Lineage: Bacteria; Bacillati; Bacillota; Bacilli; Lactobacillales; Enterococcaceae. The record is from RNAcentral.